GAGGAAAAGAAAUCAACCGAGAUUCCCCCAGUAGCGGCGAGCGAACGGGGAGCAGCCCAGAGCCUGAAUCAGUAUGUGUGUUAGUGGAAGCGUCUGGAAAGGCGCGCGAUACAGGGUGACAGCCCCGUACACAAAAAUGCACAUGCUGUGAGCUCGAUGAGUAGGGCGGGACACGUGGUAUCCUGUCUGAAUAUGGGGGGACCAUCCUCCAAGGCUAAAUACUCCUGACUGACCGAUAGUGAACCAGUACCGUGAGGGAAAGGCGAAAAGAACCCCGGCGAGGGGAGUGAAAAAGAACCUGAAACCGUGUACGUACAAGCAGUGGGAGCACGCUUAGGCGUGUGACUGCGUACCUUUUGUAUAAUGGGUCAGCGACUUAUAUUCUGUAGCAAGGUUAACCGAAUAGGGGAGCCGAAGGGAAACCGAGUCUUAACUGGGCGUUAAGUUGCAGGGUAUAGACCCGAAACCCGGUGAUCUAGCCAUGGGCAGGUUGAAGGUUGGGUAACACUAACUGGAGGACCGAACCGACUAAUGUUGAAAAAUUAGCGGAUGACUUGUGGCUGGGGGUGAAAGGCCAAUCAAACCGGGAGAUAGCUGGUUCUCCCCGAAAGCUAUUUAGGUAGCGCCUCGUGAAUUCAUCUCCGGGGGUAGAGCACUGUUUCGGCAAGGGGGUCAUCCCGACUUACCAACCCGAUGCAAACUGCGAAUACCGGAGAAUGUUAUCACGGGAGACACACGGCGGGUGCUAACGUCCGUCGUGAAGAGGGAAACAACCCAGACCGCCAGCUAAGGUCCCAAAGUCAUGGUUAAGUGGGAAACGAUGUGGGAAGGCCCAGACAGCCAGGAUGUUGGCUUAGAAGCAGCCAUCAUUUAAAGAAAGCGUAAUAGCUCACUGGUCGAGUCGGCCUGCGCGGAAGAUGUAACGGGGCUAAACCAUGCACCGAAGCUGCGGCAGCGACGCUUAUGCGUUGUUGGGUAGGGGAGCGUUCUGUAAGCCUGUGAAGGUGUGCUGUGAGGCAUGCUGGAGGUAUCAGAAGUGCGAAUGCUGACAUAAGUAACGAUAAAGCGGGUGAAAAGCCCGCUCGCCGGAAGACCAAGGGUUCCUGUCCAACGUUAAUCGGGGCAGGGUGAGUCGACCCCUAAGGCGAGGCCGAAAGGCGUAGUCGAUGGGAAACAGGUUAAUAUUCCUGUACUUGGUGUUACUGCGAAGGGGGGACGGAGAAGGCUAUGUUGGCCGGGCGACGGUUGUCCCGGUUUAAGCGUGUAGGCUGGUUUUCCAGGCAAAUCCGGAAAAUCAAGGCUGAGGCGUGAUGACGAGGCACUACGGUGCUGAAGCAACAAAUGCCCUGCUUCCAGGAAAAGCCUCUAAGCAUCAGGUAACAUCAAAUCGUACCCCAAACCGACACAGGUGGUCAGGUAGAGAAUACCAAGGCGCUUGAGAGAACUCGGGUGAAGGAACUAGGCAAAAUGGUGCCGUAACUUCGGGAGAAGGCACGCUGAUAUGUAGGUGAAGUCCCUCGCGGAUGGAGCUGAAAUCAGUCGAAGAUACCAGCUGGCUGCAACUGUUUAUUAAAAACACAGCACUGUGCAAACACGAAAGUGGACGUAUACGGUGUGACGCCUGCCCGGUGCCGGAAGGUUAAUUGAUGGGGU
This 1653-nucleotide ribosomal RNA is filed under the name Escherichia coli. RNAcentral describes it as "partial 23S ribosomal RNA". It matches the Rfam family "Bacterial large subunit ribosomal RNA", at positions 213 to 1890 of the family's 2925-position model. The record is from RNAcentral. Lineage: Bacteria; Pseudomonadati; Pseudomonadota; Gammaproteobacteria; Enterobacterales; Enterobacteriaceae.